AUUGAACGCUGGCGGCAUGCUUUACACAUGCAAGUCGAACGGUAACAGGGUGCUUGCACCGCUGACGAGUGGCGAACGGGUGAGUAAUGCAUCGGAAUGUACCGUGUAAUGGGGGAUAGCUCGGCGAAAGCCGGAUUAAUACCGCAUACGCCCUGAGGGGGAAAGUGGGGGACCGAAAGGCCUCACGUUAUACGAGCAGCCGAUGUCUGAUUAGCUAGUUGGUGAGGUAAGGGCUCACCAAGGCGUCGAUCAGUAGCGGGUCUGAGAGGAUGAUCCGCCACACUGGGACUGAGACACGGCCCAGACUCCUACGGGAGGCAGCAGUGGGGAAUUUUGGACAAUGGGCGCAAGCCUCAUCCAGCCAUGCCGCGUGUCUGAAGAAGGCCUUCGGGUUGUAAAGGACUUUUGUCCGGGAGCAAAUCCUAGUGGUUAAUAACCGCUGGGUCUGAGAGUACCGGAAGAAUAAGCACCGGCUAACUACGUG
RNAcentral lists this ribosomal RNA (484 nucleotides) under uncultured bacterium. Its description in RNAcentral is "partial 16S ribosomal RNA". It matches the Rfam family "Bacterial small subunit ribosomal RNA", at positions 30 to 507 of the family's 1533-position model. The record is from RNAcentral.